RNAcentral lists this long non-coding RNA (346 nucleotides) under Eutrema salsugineum. Its description in RNAcentral is "long non-coding RNA (ESAL_LNC000559)". Lineage: Eukaryota; Viridiplantae; Streptophyta; Magnoliopsida; Brassicales; Brassicaceae. The record is from RNAcentral.
UAUCCUUAUGUCCGGUCUCCCAAAGAGCGCCUGAGUCUGUUUCUCGAUCAGAGACAUGGCUUCUUUAGACCGUAUCGUGGCGUAUCUCUGUAGCGUAUCUGAGUCCAGGUACGUAACGUAUGAUCUCAAUCCAUAAGAAGACGACUCGUUUUCAUCUCUUUCUAUUGCGUAGCCAUCUGGAUCAUAUUCCUCUGGUUGGAUACGGAUCAGUGAAUCCGGAUCCCAUAAAGGGUAAGGAGGCGAGGGUUCUUCGUAUCGUUCUCUGGUUUUCUCAGGCCGUUUCGGGAGUGUGUUCAUGGUUCUCUCAAGUUGGUAUCUUUGGUCUAUUCUUCUGAGGAAAUAGCCA